GGGUGUAAUAAGCAAUUCUCUCAUAUAUCCCCGGGAAUAUGGCCCGAAAGUUUCUACCCAAUAACCGUAAAUUAUUGGACUAUGAGAGAAAGUAGAACCGUU
This 102-nucleotide non-coding RNA is filed under the name Rummeliibacillus stabekisii. RNAcentral describes it as "Guanine sequence". It matches the Rfam family "Purine riboswitch aptamer". From Rfam's summary of the family: Riboswitches are metabolite binding domains within certain messenger RNAs that serve as precision sensors for their corresponding targets. The record is from Rfam by way of RNAcentral. Lineage: Bacteria; Bacillati; Bacillota; Bacilli; Caryophanales; Caryophanaceae.